Molecule: long non-coding RNA, 372 nt
Organism: Chiroxiphia lanceolata (lance-tailed manakin)
Lineage: Eukaryota; Metazoa; Chordata; Aves; Passeriformes; Pipridae
Exons: 3
Source: RefSeq, a predicted model, not a curated record
CAGAAAGUUACGUUUACUUAAAUGUAGCUUUGUGUUCACCUAGCCUUCACACCAGAGCUAUGACACAUAGCCUCCCCCAGCAAAAACUUAAAGCAAAUCUUUAGAAGAUUUUCCCAAAUCUUCUGUGGAAUUGCUCUUAUAGGAAAUAUGGGGUGGCAAGAAACCCACAAGGUUAAAAUCAGAGCCACGGCAAACAAAUCUCUCCCAUAUCUGCAAAACAAAACCAGAUUCAGGGUGACUGGAAAGAUGGACUAAGCUCGGAAUUUGUAAUGAAACAAGGAGGAACAAAGCCUAAAGCAGCAGAUCCAGCAAAGCACUUAACCAAGGAGUUGAGCAAGGUCAUCUCCAGAAGAAAUAAAGUACUUGGCUGGA